RNAcentral lists this long non-coding RNA (1010 nucleotides) under Equus caballus (horse). Its description in RNAcentral is "lncRNA (ENSECAG00000048184.1)". Lineage: Eukaryota; Metazoa; Chordata; Mammalia; Perissodactyla; Equidae. The record is from RNAcentral.
AAAGAAAGGAACCCAAACAUAACACUAAAGAAAGCCAUAAAAUCACAAGGGAAGAGAGCAAGAGGAGAAGAAAGGAACAGAGAAGAACUACUAAAACACCCAGAAAAAAACACAUUUCAUUGCCAUUGAUUAGAGGACAAGAGGAAGGAGAAUGGCCCAUUCGCCUAAUCAUGACAAAUAGCUGCUUUGGUCCUUACCUGGAGGCUGUGGUCACCUGGGCCUGCCUUUUGUGCAUGCCCAUGGGCAGCAAGCAGGAAUUCAGUGUGGUAGCUGGAACCUGGCUCGACUCCAAUUUGGCGUGUGUCUAACAUUGUUUGAAGAACACUUUGUGCCCGCUGAGGCACACUCCUCUCCCAGGGACCAGAGCUAAGACAACAAAAGCUCCUGGUGCCAAGGCUACUGGUCUUAUCUGUAAAUCACUUUUCUUUUUUCUUGUCUCCUCAAGGGUGAUUUGACCUUAGCUCAGAGCUUGAGCAGGCCCGGCUCAUCAAUUUUACACUGACAAGUGAAAAGACCAAGUGGAUUUAGCUUCCCUGAUUCCUGAAACCGUGUCAGGUCUUAUAUUUGAGUAUCUUAUUGACCUAUUGGUGAUCAGUACUGCCAAGAAUAUGUGUGUGUACACUUGCGCACUUGUUGUGCAUGAACAUGUAACUAUAUAUAAAUGAUCAUUAAUCAAAAUUCUAAAUGUAUAUGAAAGUUAAUUUUACUUGUUCUUUUUUAGAAAUCAUAAAAUCCAAAAGUGACAGCGUUCAGAGGUCACUCUAAAAAGGCAGGCUUUUUCCUCCUAGAAUUCUUCUUUGGAUGCCUACCUGACCUCAAGCUCAGUGUUAUUCUAGUACCAGUGAGUGAUUCCAGAUAGGCCUAAAACUUUGAUGUUUUCCUCUGAAGCUAUUUAACAACCUGAAGAGGAAGGUUUCUAUUGUGAAUGAGUCUAGACUGCUCCCAGGUCACUGACCAGGAAUACUCACCCCACAGGGUGGACACACAGGCAGCUGAGUUGGUUGCUUUUA